This 133-nucleotide ribosomal RNA is filed under the name Escherichia coli. RNAcentral's name for it is "partial 23S ribosomal RNA". The stretch from base 1 to 115 matches the Rfam family "Bacterial large subunit ribosomal RNA", at positions 2806 to 2925 of the family's 2925-position model. Lineage: Bacteria; Pseudomonadati; Pseudomonadota; Gammaproteobacteria; Enterobacterales; Enterobacteriaceae. The record is from RNAcentral.
UGACUCUUUAAGGGUCCUGAAGGAACGUUGAAGACGACGACGUUGAUAGGCCGGGUGUGUAAGCGCAGCGAUGCGUUGAGCUAACCGGUACUAAUGAACCGUGAGGCUUAACCUUACAACGCCGAAGGUGUUU